GACGAACGCUGGCGGCGUGCUUAACACAUGCAAGUCGAACGGAGUGGCGAACGGGUGAGUAACACGUGGGUGACCUGCCCUGCACUUCGGGAUAAGCCUGGGGAACUGGGUUUAAUACCGGAUAGUGUGGGAUGGGCUCGCGGCCUAUGAGCUUGUUGGUGGGGUAAUGGCCUACCAAGGGGGCGACGGGUAGCCCACCUGAGAGGGUGGACGGCCACAUUGGGACUGCGACACGGCCCAGACGCCAACGUGGGGCAGCAGUGGGGAAUAUUGCACAGUGGGCGGAAGCCUGAUGCAGCGGCGCCGGGUGGGGGAUGACGGCCUGCGGGUUGUAAACUCCUUUCACCAUCGACGCGGUAGAUGGAGAAGAAGCACCGGCUAACUACGUGCCAGCAGCCGCGGUAAUUC
Molecule: ribosomal RNA, 408 nt
Filed under: uncultured bacterium
Lineage: Bacteria
Description: partial 16S ribosomal RNA
Rfam family: Bacterial small subunit ribosomal RNA
Source: RNAcentral